CUUUCAACAACGGAUCUCUUGGUUCUGGCAUCGAUGAAGAACGCAGCGAAAUGCGAUAAGUAAUGUGAAUUGCAGAAUUCAGUGAAUCAUCGAAUCUUUGAACGCACAUUGCGCCCUUGGGAUAUUCCUAGGGGCAUGCCUGUUCGAGCGUCA
Molecule: ribosomal RNA, 153 nt
Filed under: Caloplaca catalinae
Lineage: Eukaryota; Fungi; Ascomycota; Lecanoromycetes; Teloschistales; Teloschistaceae
Description: 5.8S ribosomal RNA
Rfam family: 5.8S ribosomal RNA
About the family: 5.8S ribosomal RNA (5.8S rRNA) is a component of the large subunit of the eukaryotic ribosome. It is transcribed by RNA polymerase I as part of the 45S precursor that also contains 18S and 28S rRNA. Functionally, it is thought that 5.8S rRNA may be involved in ribosome translocation.
Source: RNAcentral